This 382-nucleotide ribosomal RNA is filed under the name uncultured bacterium. RNAcentral describes it as "bacterial SSU rRNA". It matches the Rfam family "Bacterial small subunit ribosomal RNA", at positions 367 to 762 of the family's 1533-position model. The record is from RNAcentral.
CGCAAUGGGCGAAAGUCUGACGGAGCGACGCCGCGUGAUUGAUGAAGCUUUUCGGAGUGUAAAGAUCUUUUAUGAGGGAAGAAGUUUAUUGACGGUACCUCAUGAAUAAGGGGCUCCUAAUCUCGUGCCAGCAGGAGCGGUAAUACGAGAGCCCCGAGCGUUAUCCGGAAUUAUUGGGCGUAAAGGGUGUGUAGGUGGUAGUGUUAGUCGUUUGUUAAAUCCUCGGGCUUAACCUGAGAAUCGCGAACGAACCGGCACAACUAGAGAGUGUGAGGGGUAUAGGGAACUCAUGGUGUAGGGGUGAAAUCCGUUGAUAUCAUGGGGAACACCAAAAGCGAAGGCACUAUACUAUCACAUAUCUGACACUCAAGCACGAAAGCGU